CAUUGUUCCAGUUAAAAGUCUAGCAGCUUCAUUUUGAACGAUUUGUAGUCAGGAAAGUGUUGAAUGGGUCAACCCCAUAUACAGGGAAUUACAGUAGUCCAGCCGUGAGGUAAUAAGCGCACGUAAGGUAAGGUAAGCAGAAUAUCUGCGCCCGGAUGGCAGCAGCAUAAAUUCUACCCCACAAAGGAUGACAGGGAUCAGCCAGGAUGGCUCUCGUCUUCUUCAAGGAUCUGACCUUAUACAUGUCAUGUAGGUCAUGUAUAACUGUUUCAAUGGGAUAAAAAUGGCUUCAGUUUGGCUAUGGUUCUAAGCUGAUAAAGUAUCCAUAAAAACUUUUUUCCAACUUUUACCGACCAACUUAAAAAAAAGGUUGCAUUAUUAACCAUUGUUGUAGAAAAAUAAAAAAGCACAUGUCAAAUGUCAGAAACCUCAA
Molecule: long non-coding RNA, 433 nt
Organism: Micropterus dolomieu (smallmouth bass)
Lineage: Eukaryota; Metazoa; Chordata; Actinopteri; Centrarchiformes; Centrarchidae
Exons: 2
Source: RefSeq, a predicted model, not a curated record